This 381-nucleotide ribosomal RNA is filed under the name Ancylomarina euxina. RNAcentral's name for it is "partial 23S ribosomal RNA". It matches the Rfam family "Bacterial large subunit ribosomal RNA", at positions 2529 to 2925 of the family's 2925-position model. The record is from RNAcentral. Lineage: Bacteria; Pseudomonadati; Bacteroidota; Bacteroidia; Marinilabiliales; Marinifilaceae.
AUGUCGGCUCGUCACAUCCUGGGGCUGGAGAAGGUCCCAAGGGUUGGGCUGUUCGCCCAUUAAAGUGGCACGCGAGCUGGGUUCAGAACGUCGUGAGACAGUUCGGUCCCUAUCUGUUGUGGGCGUUGGAAAUUUGAGAGGAUCUGACUCUAGUACGAGAGGACCGGGUUGGACGAACCUCUAGUGCAUCUGUUGUGGCGCCAGCUGCAUUGCAGAGUAGCUACGUUCGGAAGGGAUAAGUGCUGAAAGCAUCUAAGCACGAAGCCUACCUCAAGAUGAGAUUUCCUUUAAGGGUCGUUGGAGACUACGACGUUGAUAGGUUGCAGGUGUAAAGGCGGUGACGUCAAAGCCGAGCAAUACUAAUUACCCUAAAACUUCUGA